AGUGAACGCUGGCGGUAGGCCUAACACAUGCAAGUCGAACGGCAGCACAGUAAGAGCUUGCUCUUACGGGUGGCGAGUGGCGGACGGGUGAGGAAUACAUCGGAAUCUACUUUUUCGUGGGGGAUAACGUAGGGAAACUUACGCUAAUACCGCAUACGACCUACGGGUGAAAGCAGGGGAUCUUCGGACCUUGCGCGAUUGAAUGAGCCGAUGUCGGAUUAGCUAGUUGGCGGGGUAAAGGCCCACCAAGGCGACGAUCCGUAGCUGGUCUGAUAGGAUGAUCAGCCACACUGGAACUGAGACACGGUCCAGACUCCUACGGGAGGCAGCAGUGGGGAAUAUUGGACAAAGGGCGCAAGCCUGAUCCAGCCAUACCGCGUGGGUGAAGAAGGCCUUCGGGUUGUAAAGCCCUUUUGUUGGGAAAGAAAAGCAGCAGGUUAAUACCCCGCUGUUCUGACGGUACCCAAAGAAUAAGCACCGGCUAACUUCGUG
This 492-nucleotide ribosomal RNA is filed under the name uncultured bacterium. RNAcentral's name for it is "partial 16S ribosomal RNA". It matches the Rfam family "Bacterial small subunit ribosomal RNA", at positions 29 to 507 of the family's 1533-position model. The record is from RNAcentral.